Molecule: ribosomal RNA, 519 nt
Filed under: Triticum aestivum (bread wheat)
Lineage: Eukaryota; Viridiplantae; Streptophyta; Magnoliopsida; Poales; Poaceae
Description: partial small subunit ribosomal RNA
Source: RNAcentral
AUGGCGACUAUGAUGGCCAUGAACUCCUUCGUCGGUGUCGCCGUCCUGCCUCGGGGCUCAGCUGGCGGCUUCGGCGCCGAUUCUCUGCCGGCGCUGGGCCGACGCGGCCUUGUCGUAAGGGCACAAACCGAGGGCCCGAGUGCACCACCGCCAAACAAACCCAAGGCGAGCAUCUCCAUCUGGGACGCGAUGGCGUUCAGCGGCCCUGCGCCAGAGCGCAUCAACGGGCGUCUGGCCAUGGUGGGUUUCGUGACUGCGCUCGCCGUGGAAGCAGGCCGUGGCGACGGGCUCCUCUUGCAGCUCGGCAGCGGCACCGGGCAGGCGUGGUUCGCCUACUCCGUGGCGGUGCUGUCCGUGGCGUCGCUGGUGCCGCUGCUCCAGGGCGAGAGCGCCGAGGGCAGAGCCGGCGCCAUCAUGAACGCCAACGCGGAGCUCUGGAAUGGUCGCUUCGCCAUGCUCGGCCUCGUCGCUCUGGCGGCCACAGAGAUCAUCACUGGCGCGCCCUUCAUCAACGUGUAG